This is a long non-coding RNA of Sarcophilus harrisii (Tasmanian devil), 815 nucleotides long. RefSeq lists it as uncharacterized. The transcript has 3 exons. NCBI's taxonomy places the organism in Eukaryota, Metazoa, Chordata, Mammalia, Dasyuromorphia, Dasyuridae. The record is from RefSeq and is a predicted model, not a curated record.
AUAUUUGUCAUUUCAGGUUCUUUCCCACAUGCUUUGUUUUCUUUAUCCCUAUCAGCUGUUCUCUUUGUCCCUUCCCUGUCCUGUUCCAUAAUAUUUGACUUUUUAGAUUUUUUUUUUUAAAUCCCUUUCAUUGUGGACACUCUGAUCUUUCAAAUGUUUGCCAUCUUAUCCUUUUCCUCCAUUUUGCAUCCUGUUUCUUUCAAACAUUAAGUAUCCAUCUGGAGAGUCCUUCGGAUGCCAUUGCCUGCCUUUUGGACAGUCUCCACAAUUCCUCUCAGGAAAUUCCUCUAGGAGGUGGAGGCAAAAAUUUGUCAAGACUAAUGACUCAUUUGGCUUGUUUGGGUGAGAAACUUGAGUCUGGCUGGUGGACCAUGUGACCACAAUGAUAGACAUAGACAAGAUGAUGCACUGAGUAUGAAGAAUGGAUAGGGGCAUGGGAUAUUGGUAUUUGUGCUAAACUCUUACAUCUAAAAUACUUUGUUUCUUGGCUUCUCCAUUGGUCUUUCAAUUCCCCACCUUGACUUUUUUUUUUUCUAUUUCUGAUGAUGGAGUGAAUGGAGUCUAGCAAAAGACCAUGUUGCUAGUUGUAAUCUAGAUGUAAGUGGACCCAAGUAAAGAGCAAACUGUUACCUUAUAAAAUCUGAAGAUUAAGCCAAAGAUAACAAUUAAUGAGGCUGUCUUAUAUAAACAGGUUGAACAAGACCACCAGGUUAUUUACUGAUAUACACAAUUAGCACAAUUUCCAAGUCAUCCUGACUCAAUUCUACUGGCUGAUGUAAGAAUAAGUAUUAUAUAUGAUGAAUAAAAAGUCCAAG